GAUGAACGCUGGCGGUAUGCUAACACAUGCAAGUCGAACGGAAUCUUCGGAUUUAGUGGCGGACGGGUGAGUAACGCGUGAGAAUCUGCUUUCAGGAUGGGGACAACAAUUGGAAACGAUUGCUAAUACCCGAUAUGACGAAAGUUGAAAGAUUUAUCGCCUGGAGAUGAGCUCGCGUCAGAUUAGCUAGAUGGUGUGGUAAAGGCGCACCAUGGCGACGAUCUGUAGCUGGUCUGAGAGGAUGAGCAGCCACACUGGGACUGAGACACGGCCCAGACUCCUACGGGAGGCAGCAGUGGGGAAUUUUCCGCAAUGGGCGCAAGCCUGACGGAGCAAUACCGCGUGAGGGAGGAAGGCUCUUGGGUCGUAAACCUCUUUUCUCAGGGAAGAACAAAAUGACGGUACCUGAGGAAUCAGCAUCGGCUAACUCCGUGCCAGCAGCCGCGGUAAUACGGAGGAUGCAAGCGUUAUCCGGAAUGAUUGGGCGUAAAGCGUCCGUAGGUGGUUAUGUAAGUCUGUGGUUAAAGCGUGGGGCUCAACCCCAUAACGGCCAUGGAAACUACAAGACUUGAGUGAAGUAGGGGUAGAGGGAAUUCCCAGUGUAGCGGUGAAAUGCGUAGAGAUUGGGAAGAACACCGGUGGCGAAAGCGCUCUACUGGACUUAAACUGACACUGAGGGACGAAAGCUAGGGGAGCGAAAGGGAUUAGAUACCCCUGUAGUCCUAGCCGUAAACGAUGGAUACUAGGUGUUGCCCG
This 756-nucleotide ribosomal RNA is filed under the name uncultured cyanobacterium. RNAcentral describes it as "bacterial SSU rRNA". It matches the Rfam family "Bacterial small subunit ribosomal RNA", at positions 28 to 829 of the family's 1533-position model. Lineage: Bacteria; Bacillati; Cyanobacteriota. The record is from RNAcentral.